AAGGAACAGCCCUACAUGUAGUACAUUGAAGCCGUGUCAUGCUGCGUUGACAAAAGACAGGUCCUUGUGUUCCUGUUUUGGACAACCUGCCUGUGAAAAGCACUGGAAAAUUGUUAGAGCCUUCAGGUGGAAGCAGUGCAUAGAAUAUUCAGGCCAUUUCUUAAGGAGAGAAGAAAGAUCACACAGUAAGACGACUGUUAAAAAGAAUUCCUUUUCUUCACUGAAACUUGGAUUAGAUAACAAGAUUCAAAAAUGCAGGAAAUGGAAAAUACAUUGUUCAGCUGAGAUCAUAAAUGGCCUCAUUUCAAAACAGAUGGUCUCCAUUUAUCACUUCACAAAAUUUGUGGACCUUCUGAAUAUCCAGAGAUUGCUUAACAUCGUCUACAUACCCACAAAUAUUUGUGCUGUCCUAGAGGAAGGUCUGAAAUUUCCCACAUGAUUUUAUGCUGUUGACAUUACAGCUUUUUUUAAGGGCAGCAGUUCUAAACACGGUGUAAUCCACACAUUUCUAGCAAAAUGCAUGUAAAAGGAAAAUUGUAAAAUAUGGAAAUAUACAGUUCAGUGACUCCUGCAUAUGCAACAUAUAGGCUUC
This is a long non-coding RNA of Nothoprocta perdicaria, 592 nucleotides long. RefSeq lists it as uncharacterized. The record is from RefSeq and is a predicted model, not a curated record. NCBI's taxonomy places the organism in Eukaryota, Metazoa, Chordata, Aves, Tinamiformes, Tinamidae. The transcript has 2 exons.